UACGGGAGGCAGCAGUAGGGAAUCUUCGGCAAUGGACGAAAGUCUGACCGAGCCACGCCGCGUGAGUGAAGAAGGUUUUCGGAUCGUAAAACUCUGUUGUUAGAGAAGAAUAAGGAUCGUUAGUAAUCUGCAACGUCCCCUG
This 142-nucleotide ribosomal RNA is filed under the name uncultured Gram-positive bacterium. RNAcentral describes it as "partial 16S ribosomal RNA". It matches the Rfam family "Bacterial small subunit ribosomal RNA", at positions 340 to 481 of the family's 1533-position model. The record is from RNAcentral.